AAGCGCUUGCAACCAGACUUGCGCGCGAUGGUUCCCCCUUCCUUCUGGUUGGGCUACUCCGUCGUGUCCAGGCCAGCAUCGGUUCAGGUGGCGGGAUAAAGGCCUUGGGAAUGUAGCUUCUUUCGGGGAGUGUUAUAGCCCUCGGUGCAAUGCCGCCUACCUAGACCGAGGACCGCGCUUCGGCUAGGAUGCUGGCGUAAUGGUUGUAAGCGA
RNAcentral lists this ribosomal RNA (213 nucleotides) under Helotiales sp. RNAcentral describes it as "partial large subunit ribosomal RNA". The record is from RNAcentral. Lineage: Eukaryota; Fungi; Ascomycota; Leotiomycetes; Helotiales.